GAUGAAGAACGUAGCAAAAUGCGAUACUUGGUGUGAAUUGCAGAAUCCCGUGAACCAUCGAGUCUUUGAACGCAAGUUGCGCCCGAAGCCUCGGCUAAGGGCACGUCUGCCUGGGCGUCACGCAUCGCGUCUCCCCCAAACCGCCAAGGCGGAGGGGAAGGAAGAUGGCUUCCCGUGCCUCACCCGGCGCGGUUGGCCUAAAUUUGGAGCCCGCGGCACUUAGCUCUCGCGGCGAUAGGUGGUGAACAAGGCCUUGGCCGUGCAAACAACCCGCUGCGAAGCUCUAUGUCACGUGCGCUCGUCGGACCCUUUGAAGUUGCCUUCGGUGACUUAAAACCUUUGCGACCCCAGGUCAGGCGGGGCUACCCGCUGAAUUUAAGCAUAUCAAUAAGCGGAGGA
This 399-nucleotide unclassified non-coding RNA is filed under the name soil metagenome. RNAcentral describes it as "partial contains 5.8S ribosomal RNA, internal transcribed spacer 2, and large subunit ribosomal RNA". The stretch from base 1 to 120 matches the Rfam family "5.8S ribosomal RNA", at positions 35 to 154 of the family's 154-position model. The record is from RNAcentral.